This 591-nucleotide ribosomal RNA is filed under the name uncultured bacterium. Its description in RNAcentral is "bacterial SSU rRNA". It matches the Rfam family "Bacterial small subunit ribosomal RNA", at positions 335 to 917 of the family's 1533-position model. The record is from RNAcentral.
ACUCCUACGGGAGGCAGCAGUGGGGAAUCUUCCGCAAUGGACGAAAGUCUGACGGAGCAACGCCGCGUGAGUGACGAAGGUUUCGGAUUGUAAAACUCCGUCUUUUGGGACGAACGGUUCAUAUGUAAAUAAUGUAUGAAAUUGACGGUACCGAAGGAGGAAGCCCCGGCUAACUACGUGCCAGCAGCCGCGGUAAUACGUAGGGGGCAAGCGUUGUCCGGAAUUAUUGGGCGUAAAGAGCGCGCAGGCGGUUUUGUAAGUCCACCGUGAAAGCUUACGGCUCAACCGUAACGGGUCGGUGGAUACUGCAAGACUUGAGGGCAGGAGAGGAAAGUGGAAUUCCCAGUGUAGCGGUGAAAUGCGUAGAUAUUAGGAGGAACACCAGUGGCGAAGGCGACUUUCUGGACUGUUACUGACGCUGAGGCGCGAAAGCUGGGGAAGUGAACGGGAUUAGAUACCCCGGUAAUCCCAGCCGUAAACGAUGGGUACUAGGUGUAGGGGGUAUCGACCCCCCCUGUGCCGGAGUUAACGCAAUAAGUACCCCGCCUGGGGAGUACGGUCGCAAGACUGAAACUCAAAGGAAUUGACGGA